This 223-nucleotide long non-coding RNA is filed under the name Nicotiana benthamiana. RNAcentral describes it as "long non-coding RNA (NBEN_LNC035253)". The record is from RNAcentral. Lineage: Eukaryota; Viridiplantae; Streptophyta; Magnoliopsida; Solanales; Solanaceae.
UGUGGUUUGUACUUCUUCCCUUCUCUCCUCUGUCCGAACUUCGGCUACACAUUUCUGUUCUUGUUGGGUUAAUCUCUUGACGAGAAUUUUGUUAUUUCUGGGAGUGUAAUUGCUAAUGGCUAUUAUUGGGUGAUUAUUGAAUACCAAUUCGAUAGUUAAAUUUUGAUUAGGGUACAGAUUUAUGGGGUUUAGAAAGCCAUUUUCUUAUUUCAUUUUGAUCGUG